This 22-nucleotide microRNA is filed under the name Mus musculus (house mouse). RNAcentral describes it as "mmu-miR-6238". The record is from miRBase by way of RNAcentral. Lineage: Eukaryota; Metazoa; Chordata; Mammalia; Rodentia; Muridae.
UUAUUAGUCAGUGGAGGAAAUG